This 407-nucleotide ribosomal RNA is filed under the name uncultured bacterium. Its description in RNAcentral is "partial 16S ribosomal RNA". It matches the Rfam family "Bacterial small subunit ribosomal RNA", at positions 30 to 526 of the family's 1533-position model. The record is from RNAcentral.
AUUGAACGCUGGCGGCAGGCCUAACACAUGCAAGUCGAACGGAGUGGCGGACGGGUGAGUAAUGUCUGGGAAACUGCCUGAUGGAGGGGGAUAACUACUGGAAACGGGCGCUAAUACCGCAUACUAUCAGAUGAGCCUAGGUCGGAUUAGCUAGUUGGUGGGGUAAAGGCCUACCACGUCGACGAUCCGUAACUGGUCUGCGCGGAUGAACAUCCACAUUGGGACUGAGAAACGGCCCAGACUCCUACGGGAGGCAGCAGUGGGGAAUAUUGGACAAUGGGCGAAAGCCUGAUCCAGCCAGGCCGCGUGUGUGAAGAAGGUCUUCGGAUUGUAAAGCACUUUAAGUUGGGAGGCGUUACCAACAGAAUAAGCACCGGCUAACUUCGUGCCAGCAGCCGCGGUAAUUC